CCUACGGGUGGCAGCAGUGAGGCAUAUUGGUCAAUGGACGAGAGUCUGAACCAGCCAAGUAGCGUGAAGGAUGACUGCCCUAUGGGUUGUAAACUUCUUUUAUAUGGGAAUAAAAUGUUCCACGUGUGGGUUUUUGUAUUUACCAUAUGAAUAAGGAUAGGCUAACUCCGUGCCGGCAGCCGCGGUAAUACGGAGGAUCCGAGCGUUAUCCGGAUUUAUUGGGUUUAAAGGAAGCGUAGGUGGAUUGUUAAGUUAGUUGUGAAAGUUUGCGGCUCAACCGGAAAAGUGCAGUUGAAACUGGCAGUCUUGAGUACAGUAGAGGUGGGCGGAAUUCGUGGUGUAGCGGUGAAAUGCUUAGAUAUCACGAAGAACUCCGAUUGCGAAGGCAGCUCACUGGACUGCAACUGACACUGAGGCUCGAAAGUGUGGGUAUCAAACAGGAUUAGAUACCCGGGUAGUC
RNAcentral lists this ribosomal RNA (460 nucleotides) under uncultured bacterium. RNAcentral's name for it is "partial 16S ribosomal RNA". It matches the Rfam family "Bacterial small subunit ribosomal RNA", at positions 338 to 795 of the family's 1533-position model. The record is from RNAcentral.